Molecule: ribosomal RNA, 252 nt
Filed under: uncultured microorganism
Description: partial 16S ribosomal RNA
Rfam family: Bacterial small subunit ribosomal RNA
Source: RNAcentral
UACGGAGGGGGCAAGCGUUGUUCGGAGUUACUGGGCGUAAAGCGAGCGCAGGUGGUUUAAUAAGUCUGAUGUAAAAGGCAGUGGCUCAACCAUUGUGUGCAUUGGAAACUGUUAGACUUGAGUGCAGUAGAGGAGAGUGGAAUUCCAUGUGUAGCGGUGAAAUGCGUAGAUAUAUGGAGGAACACCGGUGGCGAAGGCGGCUCUCUGGACUGUCACUGACACUGAGGCUCGAAAGCGUGGGUAGCAAACAGG